AGCAUAUCAAUAAGCGGAGGAAAAGAAACCAACAGGGAUUGCCCUAGUAACGGCGAGUGAAGCGGCAACAGCUCAAAUUUGAAAUCUGGCUCUCUUUGGGGGUCCGAGUUGUAAUUUGCAGAGGAUGCUUUGGCAUUGGCGGCGGUCUAAGUUCCUUGGAACAGGACAUCGCAGAGGGUGAGAAUCCCGUACGUGGGCGCCUGCCUUUGCCGUGUAAAGCUCCUUCGACGAGUCGAGUUGUUUGGGAAUGCAGCUCUAAAUGGGAGGUAAAUUUCUUCUAAAGCUAAAUACCGGCCAGAGACCGAUAGCGCACAAGUAGAGUGAUCGAAAGAUGAAAAGUACUUUGGAAAGAGAGUCAAAAAGCACGUGAAAUUGUUGAAAGGGAAGCGCUUGCAGCCAGACUUGCCCGCAGUUGCUCACCUAGGCUUUGGCCUGGGGCACUCUUCUGCGGGCAGGCCAGCAUCAGUUUGGGCGGUUGGAUAAAGGCCUCUGUCACGUAUCUUCCUUCGGGAUGACCUUAUAGGGGAGGCGUAAUGCAACCAGCCCGGACUGAGGUCCGCGCAUCUGCUAGGAUGCUGGCGUAAUGGCUGUAAGCGGCCCGUCUUGAAACACGGACCAAGGAGUCUAACAUCUAUGCGAGUGUUUGGGUGUCAAGCCCGGGCGCGCAAUGAAAGUGAACGGAGGUGGGAACCCUUUGGGUGCACCAUCGACCGAUCCUGAUGUCUUCGGAUGGAUUUGAGUAAGAGCAUAGCUGUUGGGACCCGAAAGAUGGUGAACUAUGCUUGAAUAGGGUGAAGCCAGAGGAAACUCUGGUGGAGGCUCGCAGCGGUUCUGACGUGCAAAUCGAUCGUCAAAUUUGGGCAUAGGGGCGAAAGACUAAUCGAACCAUCUAGUAGCUGGUUCCUGCCGAGCCUCUCUCUCCUGAGAGUAAA
Molecule: ribosomal RNA, 932 nt
Filed under: Pseudocamarosporium piceae
Lineage: Eukaryota; Fungi; Ascomycota; Dothideomycetes; Pleosporales; Didymosphaeriaceae
Description: eukaryotic LSU rRNA
Rfam family: Eukaryotic large subunit ribosomal RNA
Source: RNAcentral